CUUUACAAUUGAUAACACUACUUUCUUAGACAAACACAUUGAGGAUUUGGUCCGCAUUUUUUUUAUUUGUAGUGACGUGUCUCUCACCUUGAGUGUGUUCCCACUAUCAAGUUGUGUCAUUUCACAAAAACUUGAAAGCUUUAGGGUGGAUACACGAGUUUUUGUUGCAACAAACUAUAAUCUCAAGAUUGUGGGAGGUAUUCUUUCAUACUGUUGUGAAACCUUAUUAUGUUUUCGUAAAAUGAUGUCCACCAUGAUGCUUUUGCAAAGACUGACACCCCAUCUCCAGGAAGAUUUUUCUAAAUGCCACAUCAGGAACUCGCUAUGACAAGGAGACUGAUGCAAGAGAGAGUUAUUUUUACAAUUUCUUCACAAAUGAUACUGGGAACAUAUCAGCAGCUUCUUUGUUGAGGGGCUUUGCAAAGGUUGAGCCUAUGAAAAUAGCGGAGCUUAACCAGUUUAUCAUCACUCCUCAGCCUCAAUCCAUUAAAUUUAUUUGCACUGGAAAGGUGACCGUAUCAAGCCAGAAAAAGGAUGGUGCUACAUCUUGGACCCUGGAGAUCACAUGCUUGGGAUCAGUUUCUCUCUCAGCGAAGAUGUUUGGAGGUGGGAAUGAGAAGGAGAACAACUCUGGCAGCAAAACUUCAACUGGUCUCAUACUGAAAAAAGCUCAGACCACAUCUGCCAAGGUGAAGAGUAUGCUGGAGCUGGUCACAUUAAUACGUGUUUGAAAAUGCUUAUGAAUCAUUAUCCCUGUUCCCCCUAUUCUCUGUAGUAUUUUUCAGAAGAUAUUAUAAAUUAAGUUCAAGUAUAAUCCAAUGGUUAUUUUACUC
This is a long non-coding RNA of Brassica napus (rape), 833 nucleotides long. RefSeq lists it as uncharacterized. The transcript is spliced from 3 exons. The record is from RefSeq and is a predicted model, not a curated record. NCBI's taxonomy places the organism in Eukaryota, Viridiplantae, Streptophyta, Magnoliopsida, Brassicales, Brassicaceae.